Oreochromis aureus is the source of this 1087-nucleotide long non-coding RNA. The record is from Ensembl. Lineage: Eukaryota; Metazoa; Chordata; Actinopteri; Cichliformes; Cichlidae.
UUUUUUGAACUGGAGGUCCUUGAAGGGUAAUACAGUUUGAAGCUGGAGGAUCAAUAUAUAAAUAUCCGAUAGCAGCUAGGUCCGCUAACUUUCAGCAGCUGUUGAAAGGAUAAAGUUGUGGUAUGUCAGUGGUUAGAAAAACCAUUAUUACUUUAGGAUUAGUUUAACUCAAAGUCAGGGUCGACCCGGGACCUUUGCUGUGAGUCACAGUGCGCAGCAUAAAGGUCCUUUCACAUCGGACGCAGGAUGUGCUGCUAAUGCUAACUAAAAGCUAAGGAUCCAGAAUUUGUUGCGUUGGCUGCUGAGCUCUCAGCGCUCCACUCCUCCUCUCCUGUACAUGUGAACUGCAGUGACGUCACCAUCACACAGAGAGACAACAGGAGAGGUAAAAGUCCUGAUGAUCCAGAUGUUAUCUACUCUGAUGUGAGGACUCGCACUUCAGGCCCUGAUGAUGUUGUUUACCGUGAGGUGAUCUUCAGAAGGUAGAGGAAAGCUGGUGAGACAACAGAGCAGUCAGCUGAUCCAGGUGUUGUGCAUUGAUUGAGAGCAGGAAGCUGAGGACACACUCGGUCUGAUGGACGACCUUCAUCCUUCACUCUGCUCCUCUUCUUCUCUUUGUGUCUCCUGAAACUCAGUUAUUUGAUUGUUCAUCAUGAAGAGCUGCACAAAACAUUUUAAACUUUUUAGGAUUUUCUGUUUCUAUGCAGAUAUGAUCUGAUGGAAAAUAUAAAAAAUAUAUAUCAAUAACAUUUAAACAAAUAAAUCAUUCAGUAAAAUGAGCCUCAGUCUCAGGAUGUUUUUAAUAAUUCAGUUACACACAGACAGUCAGUGACGGCUCCUCUCCUCAGCUUUCCUGCUGCCAUCAGAUGCUUGUUGUUGGAAAUCUCACUCCUCAUGCACUGGUAUGAUCAGCACUUGGUGACAGUAGGAAGGAAGAACUCCCUUUAACCUGAAGAAUGUUUUACUUUUAACAUCUUUCUGUAUGAUUGUCAGUGUUUUAUGUUACUGCAUGAUUGCUUUUCUUUCAUCUUUCAAGUCUCAUGUAUUGAAUAAAAUCCCCGAAACCCAUAAAAUAAAAUCAUGUCUG